Molecule: ribosomal RNA, 479 nt
Filed under: Parapontocaris aspera
Lineage: Eukaryota; Metazoa; Arthropoda; Malacostraca; Decapoda; Crangonidae
Description: partial 16S ribosomal RNA
Rfam family: Bacterial large subunit ribosomal RNA
Source: RNAcentral
GUCUAGCCUGCCCACUGAAAUGUUUAAAGGGCCGCGGUAAUUUGACCGUGCGAAGGUAGCAUAAUCAAUAGUCUUUUAAUUGAAGGCUGGAAUGAAUGGUUGGACAAGAAGUAAGCUGUCUUUUUUUUAAUUUUAAAAUUUUACUUUUAAGUGAGAAGGCUUAAAUAUUUUAGUGGGACGAUAAGACCCUAUAAAACUUUACAAGAGUAGAUUAAUGUUUGGUUUGGUUGUGUAAAGGAAAUUAGUUGAAGGCUUGUUAUGCUGGGGCGGCAGAAAUAUAAUUUGUAACUGUUUAGCGAAAAAAAUAUGUUUAUGUAGAUAAGUGAUCCUUUAUUAGAGAUUAAAAGAUUAAGUUACUUUAGGGAUAACAGCGUAAUUUUCCUUGAGAGUUCAUAUCGACAGGAGUAGUUGCGACCUCGAUGUUGAAUUUAAGAUUUCCUUUUAGUGUAGCAGCUUUUAAGGUAGGUCUGUUCGACCUU